Molecule: transfer RNA, 68 nt
Filed under: Ripeacma umbellata
Lineage: Eukaryota; Metazoa; Arthropoda; Insecta; Lepidoptera; Oecophoridae
Description: tRNA-Val
Source: RNAcentral
CAAAUUAGAGCUUGAUUAAGUAUUUCAUUUACAUUGAAAUGAUAUUGAAAUAAAUUCGAUUAAUUUGA